Xiphophorus couchianus (Monterrey platyfish) is the source of this 3050-nucleotide long non-coding RNA. RefSeq lists it as uncharacterized. Lineage: Eukaryota; Metazoa; Chordata; Actinopteri; Cyprinodontiformes; Poeciliidae. The record is from RefSeq and is a predicted model, not a curated record. The transcript is spliced from 3 exons.
UUGCUGCACAAACCAGCACAAACUUUUGACACCAAUUUUGUCUGAUUUGAAGAAGGUGCUGGGGCCAACUUCACUCAGGUCUCUAGAGCCUUAGUAGUGGCAUGGAGGCGUUGCUGGGUAAUUAUGUUACUGGAAGACAAUACUUAAACCUACAACUAUAGACAACAAAUCAAAAAAAUGCAAUUAAAAUACUGUAAAUAUCAAUUAUUUGUACUUCUGUAUCCAAAUCAAAUCAUCAGUUAGUGGAUCUAAAAGCAUAAUGUAAUGCUGAUCACAUUUAGACUUGGCCCAAGACAUAAAUUAACUAUCAAUGCAAUUAAAUCUGAUUUAAUCGUUUACAUUGAUAUUCAUUGCAUAUGGAUUGAAGGCAUAACUUCCCGAAGGUGUGGACAUGUCCCAACCAACUUUGGACUGAAGGGGACAGUCUCCACCAAUCUUUCUUGUACCGUUUUUUUCUUUAUGUGCCUGAAUCUAUAUGCAGACUGUGGACAGUAAUUUGGCAGCAGCUGCGCCGAGUUACAGCCACUUAAUGCUUUUUAAAAUUCCUUUGUAAAACAUAAAUAGCAAGUCCUCUAGGUCAGUAGUAACCAAGCUUUUUGUCACAGCGGAUCAGUCAAGACUUGGCAAUUUUACUGCUGUCCGGGGAGGUGGAGGGGAGGGUCAUGCGGCACAAUUAAAAUUUUGACGAUCUUAGAGCGUACUGAGUUCUAAGCUUGUUGCUUGUGAUAACGGUAACCGAUCCUCUUGUAUGGAGUGAAAAUAGUCUCAAAAUAUCUGUGCGUGUAUAAAAGUAUCUGUGCAUGUGUAAAAAUAUCUGUGUGUGUUAAUUUUUAUUUAUUUAUUUAUUUUUAUUAUGAACCUUCUCAAAACAAUUGACCUGUCAGUUAUCGCUUUUGCACUGCUGCAGGCUAUUUUUGGUUCCUACUGUAAAUAUUGUUCUGGGAGGAUGGUUAUUAGUGUUGCACAAAGUAAGGUUCUGUAACGUAGAUGCAGCAGCCAGUCAAAAGCUGCCUAAUUGAGCUGCUCGUAAGAUGUGUGCUAAUGCUACCUCUCACUCUCAGUAAUGUUUAUAACGUUACAAAUAGUUCUCACAGUUUUUGUGCUGCAUAAAAAUAUAAUGUUAAGUGUCUUUAAGUGUUUUAAAAACUUUGGGUUUGGUUAAAAUUAAACUGUUACUCUUAUAAAGUUUGUCUGAAGUUUUCCCUCCAAAAUGUGUUUGUUGGGCCGCAGACUGUGACUGUGUGUACCAUACCCGGUGAUUGAGUGUGUCCCACACUGUGUCUUAUAGAAUAGGUCCUUUACGCAUUCUUUUACAUAAAGGAGAAGCUGCCUAACUGAGCUGCUGGGAUCUGACUGUGACUGUGUGUACCAUACCUGGUGGUUGAGUGUGUCCCACACUGUCUUAUAGGAAUAAACUGACACAGAUCCUGAUUCCAGUGUGACGUUAUUGAUCCUUUUUACAACUAUUACACGUCUGUAAUACUGGAUUUGUAACUCAUGUAAGCAUCUUUGUGUGUAACUUUGGAUCGUUGUGUCUGUGAAACAUGAUUUGUAAACCUUAAAAAAAAAACCUUCUCCUACGCCUACAAAUGUUGAAAAAGUACGCACAAGUCACCUGGUACACACAUAAAACUGCAUUUACGCACAGAUCUGGUUUUGAGACUCUUUUCACGCUUCGGGAGCUCCCAGAUUGUGUGUAGAUGGUGCAUUUACAUGCUAGUAGAAAGCUGGGUCAUCUGAGUUUUACUCUGAGUCUAGUGUUUUUAUCCUCUAAAACGUUUCUCACUGUGCUUGUGCCGAAGUGGCAAAUACGUUAGUUCGGUGGAAAACGGUAUUUUAUAUUUAUCUCUACACAGGACGAAACGGCUGACUGAUGGAUCGGGUCUGGUGUUAUUUUACUUACUGGAGGAUCAGAAGCUUUCAGAUCUCAACACACUGAUCCUCCAACGGGAUCCUCAGAUCCAGGCAUUGAUUUCUGGUUUCCUGCAACAUUUAGAUACUUUCUGGUCCAACACAACUGAAUUAAAUGGCUGCUUAGGGGAGUCAAGUUCUCCAGAGUCGUGCUAAUGACCUCUGACCUCAUGAUUUGACGCAGGUGCGUUAAAGAAGAGACAUCUAAAGGUUGGAGGACACUGACCCUCCUGAACUGGAGCUAAAGCCCUGCUGUACAAUUUUCACUCAGUUAUAAUCACAUUUACUUACGUAUAUACAGUGGAAACUACCUGUGUUGAGGUAGAUGAGGAGUAUUCACAGUGUCUUUACUUUAAAACCUUUUUGGUUUCCAUUUGUUGAAAGUGAAUUACAAACAUUUACCCGUAGUUUGACCAUUGCUUUAUGGCAGAAAAAAGUUUGAUGUCACAAAUAUAUGAUUUUUAUAGAGGCAUCAUUCGAUUUAUAAUGUAGAAAGAAGAUGACAAAAGUGUUUUCUGAAUUAACUUUAAUGUUCACCUCACUGCAGAAAGGACAGAUUAAAUAUUUAAGAUUGCAACAAAUCUGUUGAAUCUUUAACAAAAUAGGUUCAGAUUAACAUGGGUGGUUUCACAGCAACCUAAAGUUAACAAUGAAAUGUCUUAAAACUUACAUAGAUGCUCAAAUAUUAACUAUAAUGAAUUAACAAAAGAAAACACCAUAAAGCUGUGUAUUCAAAGACAACCAAGGACAGUCUCUACAGAUAAACCAUAAUGUCUACCAACAGAGCACGUUAACUACUGUAGUUGUUUGAAAGGCGUCUUGGUCCAGUUGACGGCUCAAUUUGAAGCUUGAGGUUUUGGUGUUGAAACUCCCAGAAUCUCAGCUGUUGCAGAUUGUCUGAAGAUGCAGAGAAAAGAACAAGUUGUUAGUGUUAGAAAAAAUGUAUGUUGAUUUUCCUGAACAGCUGAUGCACUGACAAACCUGUCUUUGACAAAACAUUACUGAACCUGAAAAUUAUUUGAAUCAUCACAAUGUAUGUAGAAAUCUUUCUUUUUAUGUUGAUCAAAUGUUUAUGCAUUAAAUGUUUUGCUGUGGAGGCUAUUUUUGCAGUGGUGCUUUAAAUAAAUGCAUAAAAUAUA